This 68-nucleotide non-coding RNA is filed under the name Streptomyces niveus. Lineage: Bacteria; Bacillati; Actinomycetota; Actinomycetes; Kitasatosporales; Streptomycetaceae. The record is from RNAcentral.
UCUUUGCUACGUUGGGGUGACAGCCCGACGAGACGCGCCGUACCGGGUCAAGCGAAAGACGACGCACC